This 464-nucleotide ribosomal RNA is filed under the name uncultured bacterium. RNAcentral's name for it is "partial 16S ribosomal RNA". It matches the Rfam family "Bacterial small subunit ribosomal RNA", at positions 339 to 795 of the family's 1533-position model. The record is from RNAcentral.
CUACGGGGUGCUGCAGUUAAGAAUCUUCCGCAAUGGACGAAAGUCUGACGGAGCGACGCCGCGUGGGUGAAGAAGGCCGAGAGGUUGUAAAGCCCUUUUCUGCUUGAGGAAUAAGCCUGGUAGGGAAUGACCGGGUGAUGACGGUAGGGCAGGAAUAAGCCCCGGCUAAUUACGUGCCAGCAGCCGCGGUAACACGUAUGGGGCGAGCGUUGUUCGGAAUCAUUGGGCGUAAAGGGCGUGUAGGCGGAAAUGCAAGUCUGGUGUGAAAGACCGCAGCUCAACUGCGGGGACGCGCUGGAAACUGCAUAUCUUGAGUUCCGGAGGGGGAGUUGGAAUUCCUGGUGUAGGGGUGAAAUCUGUUGAUAUCAGGAAGAACAUCGGUGGCGAAGGCGAACUCCUGGACGAGAACUGACGCUGAGGCGCGAAAGCGUGGGGAGCGAACAGGAUUAGAUACCCCGGUAGUC